GCUUGUCUCAAAGAUUAAGCCAUGCAUGUCUAAGUACAAGCCUCAGUAAGGUGAAACCGCGAAUGGCUCAUUAAAUCACACCUAAUCUACUGGAAAGUUACUAGUUACUUGGAUAACUGAGGUAAUUCUUGAGCUAAUACAUGCGAAAAAUCUCGACUCACGGAGAGAUGCUUUUAUUAGAUCUAACCAUCAUUUGGUGAAUCAUAGUAACUGAUCGGACCGUGCGUUAGCGCGGUAAAUCGUUCAAGUUUCUGCCCUAUCAGCUUUCGAUGGUAGUGUAUUGGACUACCAUGGCAGUCACGGGUAACGGAGAAUUAGGGUUCGGUUCCGGAGAGGGAGCCUGAGAAACGGCUACCACAUCUAAGGAAGGCAGCAGG
This 377-nucleotide ribosomal RNA is filed under the name uncultured fungus. RNAcentral describes it as "partial small subunit ribosomal RNA". It matches the Rfam family "Eukaryotic small subunit ribosomal RNA", at positions 30 to 432 of the family's 1831-position model. The record is from RNAcentral. Lineage: Eukaryota; Fungi.